Molecule: ribosomal RNA, 903 nt
Filed under: uncultured bacterium
Lineage: Bacteria
Description: bacterial SSU rRNA
Rfam family: Bacterial small subunit ribosomal RNA
Source: RNAcentral
GCUCAGGAUGAACGCUAGCUACAGGCUUAACACAUGCAAGUCGAGGGGAAACGAUAGAGAAAGCUUGCUUUUUCUAGGCGUCGACCGGCGCACGGGUGAGUAACGCGUAUCCAACCUGCCCAUCACUUGGGGAUAACCUUGCGAAAGUAAGACUAAUACCCAAUGAUAUCUCUAGAAGACAUCUGAAAGAGAUUAAAGAUUUAUCGGUGAUGGAUGGGGAUGCGUCUGAUUAGCUUGUUGGCGGGGUAACGGCCCACCAAGGCGACGAUCAGUAGGGGUUCUGAGAGGAAGGUCCCCCACAUUGGAACUGAGACACGGUCCAAACUCCUACGGGAGGCAGCAGUGAGGAAUAUUGGUCAAUGGACGAGAGUCUGAACCAGCCAAGUAGCGUGCAGGAUGACGGCCCUAUGGGUUGUAAACUGCUUUUAUAAGGGAAUAAAGUGAGUCUCGUGAGACUUUUUGCAUGUACCUUAUGAAUAAGGACCGGCUAAUUCCGUGCCAGCAGCCGCGGUAAUACGGAAGGUCCGGGCGUUAUCCGGAUUUAUUGGGUUUAAAGGGAGCGUAGGCCGGAGAUUAAGCGUGUUGUGAAAUGUAGACGCUCAACGUCUGCACUGCAGCGCGAACUGGUUUCCUUGAGUACGCACAAAGUGGGCGGAAUUCGUGGUGUAGCGGUGAAAUGCUUAGAUAUCACGAAGAACUCCGAUUGCGAAGGCAGCUCACUGGAGCGCAACUGACGCUGAAGCUCGAAAGUGCGGGUAUCGAACAGGAUUAGAUACCCUGGUAGUCCGCACGGUAAACGAUGGAUGCCCGCUGUUGGUCUGAAUAGGUCAGCGGCCAAGCGAAAGCAUUAAGCAUCCCACCUGGGGAGUACGCCGGCAACGGUGAAACUCAAAGGAAUUGACG